CGGAUUCACCACAAGAAUCUUGUCUCCAUGAUUGGUUACUGCAAUGACGGGGAGUACAUGGCACUUGUCUACGAGUACAUGUCAGAAGGGACCCUGCAAGAACAUAUUGAAGGUACAGAGGUUCUCAGUCAUAUGUUUUACAUUUUAAUGUCUUAGGUAUAGCUUAAACGGAGAAAUAUCGCAAUCUAAUUGUAGGAAGAAAAAGCAUCAAGGGAUCUUUACCCUGGAGACAGAGACUCCGAAUUGCACUUGAAUCUGCACAAGGUGCACACUUCAAUAUUUUGAGUUUGUUGUUCCUGAAAUUUUCAUGUUUCCAGAAACUUGGGCAUUAGCUGGUAUGUUGAUG
Molecule: long non-coding RNA, 346 nt
Filed under: Hordeum vulgare
Lineage: Eukaryota; Viridiplantae; Streptophyta; Magnoliopsida; Poales; Poaceae
Description: long non-coding RNA (HVUL_LNC017736)
Source: RNAcentral